This is a small nuclear RNA of Peromyscus eremicus (cactus mouse), 103 nucleotides long. Lineage: Eukaryota; Metazoa; Chordata; Mammalia; Rodentia; Cricetidae. The record is from RefSeq and is a predicted model, not a curated record.
AUUACUUUAGUAUAUUGCAAAUUAAAAUGGAAUAAUAUAGAAAAGAUUAACAUGGCCCCUACACAAGAAUGAAAUGCAAAUUUGUCAAAAGUUCCAUAUUUUU